ACUGCCUGAUGGAGGGGGAUAACUACUGGAAACGGUAGCUAAUACCGCAUAACGUCGCAAGACCAAAGAGGGGGACCUUCGGGCCUCUUGCCAUCGGAUGUGCCCAGAUGGGAUUAGCUAGUAGGUGGGGUAACGGCUCACCUAGGCGACGAUCCCUAGCUGGUCUGAGAGGAUGACCAGCCACACUGGAACUGAGACACGGUCCAGACUCCUACGGGAGGCAGCAGUGGGGAAUAUUGCACAAUGGGCGCAAGCCUGAUGCAGCCAUGCCGCGUGUAUGAAGAAGGCCUUCGGGUUGUAAAGUACUUUCAGCGGGGAGGAAGGGAGUAAAGUUAAUACCUUUGCUCAUUGACGUUACCCGCAGAAGAAGCACCGGCUAACUCCGUGCCAGCAGCCGCGGUAAUACGGAGGGUGCAAGCGUUAAUCGGAAUUACUGGGCGUAAAGCGCACGCAGGCGGUUUGUUAAGUCAGAUGUGAAAUCCCCGGGCUCAACCUGGGAACUGCAUCUGAUACUGGCAAGCUUGAGUCUCGUAGAGGGGGGUAGAAUUCCAGGUGUAGCGGUGAAAUGCGUAGAGAUCUGGAGGAAUANCCGGUGGCGAAGGCGGCCCCCUGGACGAAGACUGACGCUCAGGGCGAGACGUGGGGAGCAAACA
RNAcentral lists this ribosomal RNA (653 nucleotides) under uncultured Pseudomonadota bacterium. RNAcentral describes it as "bacterial SSU rRNA". It matches the Rfam family "Bacterial small subunit ribosomal RNA", at positions 125 to 774 of the family's 1533-position model. The record is from RNAcentral. Lineage: Bacteria; Pseudomonadati; Pseudomonadota.